This 465-nucleotide ribosomal RNA is filed under the name uncultured bacterium. Its description in RNAcentral is "partial 16S ribosomal RNA". It matches the Rfam family "Bacterial small subunit ribosomal RNA", at positions 28 to 507 of the family's 1533-position model. The record is from RNAcentral.
GAUGAACGCUGGCGGCGUGCUUAACACAUGCAAGUCGAACGGAAAGGCUCCUGCUUGCCGGGGUACUCGAGUGGCGAACGGGUGAGUAACACGUGGGUGAUCUGCCCUGCACUUCGGGAUAAGCCUUGGAAGCUGGGUCUAAUACCGGAUAGGACGUUGGUUUGGAUGCCGUUGUGGAGAGUUGUUCGGUGUGGGAUGAGCUCGCGGCCUAUCGGCUUGUUGGUUGGGUAGUGGCCUACCAAGCCGUCGACGGGUAGCCGGCCCGAGAGGGUGUACGGCCACAUUGGGACUGAGAUACGGCCCAGACUCCUACGGGAGGCAGCAGUGGGGAAUAUUGCACAAUGGGCGCAAGCCUGAUGCAGCGACGCCGCGUGGGGGAUGACGGCCUUCGGGUUGUAAACUCCUUUCGCUAGGGACGAAGCGCAAGUGACGGUACCUGGAGAAGAAGCACUGGCUAACUACGUG